RNAcentral lists this ribosomal RNA (253 nucleotides) under uncultured bacterium. Its description in RNAcentral is "partial 16S ribosomal RNA". It matches the Rfam family "Bacterial small subunit ribosomal RNA", at positions 524 to 776 of the family's 1533-position model. The record is from RNAcentral.
UACGUAGGAUGCAAGCGUUGUCCGGAAUUAUUGGGCGUAAAGAGCGCGCAGGCGGCCCAUCAAGUCAGAUGUGAAAUAACCAGGCUUAACCUGGUGGGGUCAUUUGAAACUGGCGGGCUAGAGUCCAGCAGAGGAUAGCGGAAUUCCCGGUGUAGUGGUGAAAUGCGCAGAUAUCGGGAGGAACACCAAUGGCGAAGGCAGCUCGCUGGGACGUGACUGACGCUGAGACGCGAAAGCGUGGGGAGCAAACAGG